CAGUCGAGCGCCCCGCAAGGGGAGCGGCAGACGGGUGAGUAACGCGUGGGAAUCUACCCUUUACUACGGAAUAACGCAGGGAAACUUGUGCUAAUACCGUAUGUGUCCUUCGGGAGAAAGAUUUAUCGGUAAAGGAUGAGCCCGCGUUGGAUUAGCUAGUUGGUGGGGUAAAGGCCUACCAAGGCGACGAUCCAUAGCUGGUCUGAGAGGAUGAUCAGCCACAUUGGGACUGAGACACGGCCCAAACUCCUACGGGAGGCAGCAGUGGGGAAUAUUGGACAAUGGGCGCAAGCCUGAUCCAGCCAUGCCGCGUGAGUGAUGAAGGCCCUAGGGUUGUAAAGCUCUUUCACCGGAGAAGAUAAUGACGGUAUCCGGAGAAGAAGCCCCGGCUAACUUCGUGCCAGCAGCCGCGGUAAUACGAAGGGGGCUAGCGUUGUUCGGAAUUACUGGGCGUAAAGCGCACGUAGGCGGAUCGAUCAGUCAGGGGUGAAAUCCCAGGGCUCAACCCUGGAACUGCCUUUGAUACUGUCGAUCUGGAGUGUGGAAGAGGUGAGUGGAAUUCCGAGUGUAGAGGUGAAAUUCGUAGAUAUUCGGAGGAACACCAGUGGCGAAGGCGGCUCACUGGUCCAUUACUGACGCUGAGGUGCGAAAGCGUGGGGGAGCAAACAGGAUUAGAUACCCUGGUAGUCCACGCCGUAAACGAUGAAUGUUAGCCGUCGGGGCAGUAUACUGUUCGGUGGCGCAGCUAACGCAUUAAACA
RNAcentral lists this ribosomal RNA (760 nucleotides) under Rhizobium sp. RNAcentral's name for it is "bacterial SSU rRNA". It matches the Rfam family "Bacterial small subunit ribosomal RNA", at positions 59 to 866 of the family's 1533-position model. The record is from RNAcentral. Lineage: Bacteria; Pseudomonadati; Pseudomonadota; Alphaproteobacteria; Hyphomicrobiales; Rhizobiaceae.